AUACGGGGGAUCCGAGCGUUAUCCGGAUUUAUUGGGUUUAAAGGGUGCGCAGGCGGCCAUUUAAGUCAGCGGUUAAAUCGUGGGGCUCAACCCCAUUCUGCCGUUGAUACUGGGUGGCUUGAUUGCGGUCGAGGUUGGCGGAAUUCGUUGUGUAGCGGUGAAAUGCAUAGAUAUGAUGAAGAACACCGAUUGCGUAGGCAGCUGACCAGACCGCAAAUGACGCUCAUGCACGAAAGUGCGGGGAUCGAACAGGAUUAGAUACCCUGGUAGUCCGCACAGUAAACGAUGAAUACUUGUUUUCGGCGAUAUAAUGUCGGAGGCAAAGCGAAAGCGAUAAGUAUUCCACCUGGGGAGUACGCCGGCAACGGUGAAACUCAAAUGAAUUGGCGGGG
RNAcentral lists this ribosomal RNA (392 nucleotides) under uncultured bacterium. Its description in RNAcentral is "partial 16S ribosomal RNA". It matches the Rfam family "Bacterial small subunit ribosomal RNA", at positions 523 to 918 of the family's 1533-position model. The record is from RNAcentral.